This 500-nucleotide ribosomal RNA is filed under the name uncultured bacterium. RNAcentral's name for it is "partial 16S ribosomal RNA". It matches the Rfam family "Bacterial small subunit ribosomal RNA", at positions 30 to 523 of the family's 1533-position model. The record is from RNAcentral.
AUUGAACGCUGGCGGAAUGCUUUACACAUGCAAGUCGAACGGCAGCACGGACUUCGGUCUGGUGGCGAGUGGCGAACGGGUGAGUAAUGUAUCGGAACGUGCCCAGUCGUGGGGGAUAACGUAGUGAAAAUUACGCUAAUACCGCAUACGAUCUAUGGACGAAAGCGGGGGAUCGCAAGACCUCGCGCGAUUGGAGCGGCCGAUAUCAGAUUAGGUAGUUGGUGGGGGAAAGGCCCACCAAGCCAACGAUCUGUAGCUGGCAUGAGAGUACGACAAGCAACGCUGGACCGGAGACACGGUCCAGAGCACUACGGGAGGCAGUAGUGGGGAAUUUUGGACAAUGGGCGAAAGCCUGAUCCAGCCAGUCCGCGGGCAGGAUGAAGGCCCUCGGGUUGUAAACUGCUUUUGUACAGAACGAAAAGGUUUCUACUAAUACUAGGAGCUCAUGACGGUACUGUAAGAAGAAGCACCGGCUAACUACGUGCCAGCAGCCGCCGUAA